AGCAGCCGCGGUAAUUCCAGCUCCAAUAGCGUAUAUUAAAGUUGUUGCAGUUAAAAAGCUCGUAGUUGAAUUUCGGGGUCAGUAGGUUGGUCAUGCCUCCGGUAUGUACUGGUCUCACUGGUUCCUCCUUCCUGAUGAACCGUAAUGCCAUUAAUUUGGUGUUGCGGGGAGACUGGACUGUUACUUUGAAAAAAUUAGAGUGUUUAAAGCAGGCUAACGCUUGAAUACAUUAGCAUGGAAUAAUGAAAUAGGACGUUCGAUCCUAUUUUGUUGGUUUCUAGGAUUGACGUAAUGAUUAAUAGGGAUAGUUGGGGGCAUUAGUAUUCAAUUGUCAGAGGUGAAAUUCUUGGAUUUAUUGAAGACUAACUACUGCGAAAGCAUUUGCCAAGGAUGUUUUCAUUAAUCAAGAACGAAAGUUAGGGGAUCGAAGACGAUCAGAUACCGUCGUAG
RNAcentral lists this ribosomal RNA (450 nucleotides) under uncultured Glomeromycotina. RNAcentral's name for it is "SSU rRNA". It matches the Rfam family "Eukaryotic small subunit ribosomal RNA", at positions 569 to 1023 of the family's 1831-position model. The record is from RNAcentral. Lineage: Eukaryota; Fungi; Glomeromycota.